This 301-nucleotide ribosomal RNA is filed under the name uncultured bacterium. RNAcentral's name for it is "partial 16S ribosomal RNA". It matches the Rfam family "Bacterial small subunit ribosomal RNA", at positions 512 to 809 of the family's 1533-position model. The record is from RNAcentral.
CAUCCCGCGGUAAUACGUAGGGUGCAAGCGUUAAUCGGAAUUACUGGGCGUAAAGCGUGCGCAGGCGGUUAUAUAAGACAGAUGUGAAAUCCCCGGGCUCAACCUGGGAACUGCAUUUGUGACUGUAUAGCUAGAGUACGGCAGAGGGGGAUGGAAUUCCGCGUGUAGCAGUGAAAUGCGUAGAUAUGCGGAGGAACACCGAUGGCGAAGGCAAUCCCCUGGGCCUGUACUGACGCUCAUGCACGAAAGCGUGGGGAGCAAACAGGAUUAGAUACCCCGGUAGUCCCUGUCUCUUAUACAC